CGAGGAUAUUCAAAUCUUCCACUCAAUAUAUUGUCAGUAACGGCCUUCUCACUCCACAGGAGCGAUUAAGGGCUAUAUUAUCUUGCCCACAAUGGCAAGCUCAAUGAUCCUACAAUCUCAAAAUCUCAUAAUCUUCAUAUAGCUGUGUGACCAACUGUUUGACAGCCUUCUAUAUAAGCAACCAAAGCUCUGAAGAUCAGGAUAAGUCAAUCAAUCUCUCUCAAAGAACUCAUUGCUGUUCCUGUUGUUCUCUGAAUCUGACUUGAG
RNAcentral lists this long non-coding RNA (267 nucleotides) under Elaeis guineensis (African oil palm). RNAcentral's name for it is "long non-coding RNA (EGUI_LNC036461)". The record is from RNAcentral. Lineage: Eukaryota; Viridiplantae; Streptophyta; Magnoliopsida; Arecales; Arecaceae.